This 253-nucleotide ribosomal RNA is filed under the name uncultured bacterium. RNAcentral describes it as "partial 16S ribosomal RNA". It matches the Rfam family "Bacterial small subunit ribosomal RNA", at positions 524 to 776 of the family's 1533-position model. The record is from RNAcentral.
UACGAAGGGGGCUAGCGUUGCUCGGAAUCACUGGGCGUAAAGGGCGCGUAGGCGGCCAUUCAAGUCGGAGGUGAAAGCCCAGGGCUCAACCCUGGAAUUGCCUUCGAUACUGUUUGGCUAGAGACCGGAAGAGGUAAGUGGAACUGCGAGUGUAGAGGUGAAAUUCGUAGAUAUUCGCAAGAACACCAGUGGCGAAGGCGGCGACCUGGGUAGAUACUGACGCUGAGGUGCGAAAGCGUGGGGAGCAAACAGG